AAUUAACAUCGAGUGCGUUACAAUGUAACAGGCGCAGAUAAAAAGAAAACCGACGCUCAAACGAUUAUGGCGAGAGAGAGAAAACACCGAAUGAAUCUGGUUGACAGCUGACGCUCGUCCUCUCAUCUCCCCAUUCAACUCGUAGCAUACAGUCUCACCGAUAUCAGGCAAUUUAAUUAAAUAGCCUAUCACCAAAUGAAAAAAGAAACAGGCCUAAUAGCCUAUGACAGAGCCGAUCAAUAUUGGAAUUGGCAAAUUAGCCUAGAUUAUGUAGAAUAGGUCAAAUGGGGAUAUUUGAGUGCACGUAUGCAUACAUCCUACAUGAUUGUGCGUGUGUAAGCUGUAUGUAUGCAUGAGUGUAUGCGAAUCUGCGGUAUGUGGAAAUGGUAGAUAGAAAAUGAACAGAAUUGCGUUGGGUCUGCGGUGAUGAGGACACGUGGGACCAUAGUACCCUCCCCUCAUUCUAUCUCCAAGCGUCCUUCCGUUGCCAUGCAGUUCUCUAUCUGCACAAGAGCGGAUGCGACAACCCGGGUACCAAGGGGCCAAUUGAGCUGUCCACUACCAUGAGGAGACACAGAAGCUGCAGGCACACAUCGGGAAAUGGGACAGUGAAGAGCGAUGACAAGCUAUUGUUGGAAGAAGUGGGCUUGACUAGCAGGCUGUGUGUGUGUUGGAGCUGAUAAGAAGUGUCCUGAGGUGACUCCAUGUAAGCUGGAUGUCUUAGAUGAUCAUACAGAUAAAGCUGAAUGUGCAGAACAAGGGUUAUUGUUGUGCACAAAAUAUUAAUCAUGUCAUAAUGUGCCAUUUCAUUAAAGGAGAAUUUAGCUUUUUUACAACCAAAUCAAAAUGUUUGAUUUAAAUGGAAUGUUAUAGAAGGGUCCAGACUCUCUAGUCUUCACUCCCUCAUCCUCAUCGUGCAGUACGGGGGCUCUUCACUAUUCUGACUGAACCCGAAUACCCGAGACCUGGCCCGGGAACCGAGUGCGUCUGUGUCCAAAAUUCUAUCUUUUCCCUCGGGUCUGGGUCGGGUCCUGUUUGUUUGUCAUUGGGUCUUGGGUCUAUGUAACUAUAGCUGAUAGACCCUAUUGGACCCGAAUGGACCUGACCACAGCUCUGUAUAGCCUAUAGCAUAUUUAUUUUACGCUAAUAUGGUGAAUUUAUUGACAUAUUUAUUAACAUAUAAAUACAUAUUUAUUAACAAAAAGAGCAACUUGGCUGAUUUUUGGGUCACUCGGUUCCAAUCGGUUCUGGUCUAGACCCGGAACCCGUUAGAUACAGGUACAGGUCGAGUCUAGGUCUGGUUGUCGUCGGGUCUAUUCGGGUUCAGGUCUGAUUUUCUCCGGUCAACGUCCUCCUUUUUUUUGUUGAUGAUCGGGUCUGUUUGGGUCCAGGUCCAACUUUUUGGACCCAAGAAGACCACUUUUUUGGUGAUUUCACUUAUUUUUGAGACACUUACCCCAACCGGCAAUUCACUUCCUCAUCCUCAUCGUGCAGUACGGGGGCUCUGAAAGAACAUGAACAAAUGCUCCAAAAAUACCCAAAUAUGUCAUUUUAAAAAUCGAAACACUCUCAGUAUAGUGAUGUUGGUCCCUCAGAUUUGUGUGCUAAAAAUGAGAACUCGAAAGUGAAUAUCUUCUCCUCAGCCACCCACUCCAUGGGCCACCCAGACCAUCCUUCUACUUCAGGAGCGCCCCUAUAGCUGGAGUGCACUAAGGACAUGACUGAGAUACACUUGCCAACUUUGCGUUCUGCCUAAUGCUGCAUUCAUAUUCAUAACCAAGUGGGAAGUUGGUCAUUUUCAGUUGUGAAGUAGUAAAUAUGAGUUGAAUGCAUUCAUGCGCUUUGAACUUGUUGAGAAACGCUGAUUAGCUCAUGGCAAACAAGCUGUGUCAACAAUAAACUAAAAUUACAGCUAUCAUGCUCACAAAUUAUAGUGCUCAAAAACCAUAAUUAAUAGAUUGCUUUUUAUAAUUCAAGUUUUGUUGCAUUUAAU
This 1993-nucleotide long non-coding RNA is filed under the name Oncorhynchus mykiss (rainbow trout). RNAcentral's name for it is "lncRNA (ENSOMYG00000077150.1)". Lineage: Eukaryota; Metazoa; Chordata; Actinopteri; Salmoniformes; Salmonidae. The record is from RNAcentral.